AAAUAGAUCUGUAGAUUCCACAUAAUUCCAAUAAAAAUUCUAUCAGUUUUAUUUUUGUAGAAGUUAGCAAGCUUAUUGUAAAAAUGCAUAUGGAAAUGCAAAAAAAACAAGAAUGGUCAAAAUAACUUUGAAGGGAAACAAAGUAGGAAUACUAACAUUACUUGAUUUCAAAAUAUAAAGCUGAAGUAUUUAAUAGGAUUCAGUAUGAUACUUGCAUAAAGAUUGACAAACAGUUUAAUGGGUCAGAACAUGAGUUCAGAAAUGGACAACAAAUUUUUUUAAAACUCAAUAUCAUCCCUAUUUCCUUAUAAAAUGAACUCAUGUCUACACGAAUACAAAAAUUUUAACACAAAUUGGAUCUUAUAAUUAAGUGUAAAAUAUAGAACUAUAAGAUAUCUAAAAAAGGCCAGAUCUGUGGCUCAUGCCUGUAAUACCAGCACUUUGGGCAGCCAAGGCUGGGGAAACACCUGAGAUCAAGUUCAAGACCAGCCUGGCCAACAUGGUGAAACCCUGUCUCUACUAAAACCUUCAUCCUUACCUUAUCAGCUUCACCUUGAGUAGGCUGAGGAGGAGGAGGAGGAAGGGAGGGGUUGUUCUUGCUGUUUUGGGGUGGCAGAGGUGGAACAGUUGGAGGAGGUAGAAGGAGAAGAAGGAGAGAGGCUGAUGCACUCAGUGUAACUUUUAUUGAAAAAUAUCCAUAGACAAUUGGACAUGCACAAUUCAAACUUGUGUUGUUCAAUGGUCAACUGUGCUACAAAAUCAAAAAGUGGGGCAUAGUUACUAAGCCAAUAGUAGAAAUAAAAAAAAUUACUUAAAACCACAAUAUCAGUUCAAAACAAGGCAGGAAAAGUGAAAAAAUCCUAAGUAAACAGUAAUAUAUAACAUGUUAAUAGAUUGAAAAAUUCAAUAUUGUUAAGAUAAUUUUCUUGCAUUAAGCUGCAGAACAAGCAAAAUACCAAUUAAAAUCUCAGCAGGACUUUUGUAGAAAUUGGCAAGCUGAUUAUAAAAUUUCCAUGUAAUACAAACAAUUUUAAAUAGCAAGAGUGAUUUUAAAAAUUAAGGGCAACGUUGAAGAACUUACACUACUAGAUUUCAAGACUUAUCAUACACUGCAGUAAUAGAUGGAGUGGGGUAUUGGCAUAAGGACACAUAUUUAGAUUAAAAGAAUAACAUAAUCUGGAAAUGUUUACAAGCAUAUAUAGUCAGUUGUUUUUUUUAAUCAAAUUUGCCAGUGUAAUUUAAUAGGAAAAGAAUGGUGCUGGAACAAUAGAAUAUCAACGUACAACCACUGACAGCGAUUAUAACCGUAAAAUUUAGGUGUUUUGUGGUUGAGGGCAUGAUGGGACAUCUACAAAAUAAAGGACAAAAUAUUUCUUACUGCACUGCAAUAAGAUGGAAGUACAACAUUUGGUAGUCCUUUUUGGAUACAGGAGGCAGCAUAGUUCACAUCUGAGGAUGCUGUACCAGACCAUGUAUUAGGUAAUACAAAUGUUUGCAUUCAUUAGUGCACACUAACUAUGGUAGAAGUGCUGAAGCACUAAAAAACUUAGUUGGCAAUGAUUUGUCCAGUUGAUAGCAACCCAUGUUUGUCGGGGUUCUCUAGAUGGACAGAACUAAUAGGAUAGUGUCUAUAUGAAGGGGAAUUUAUUAGGAGAAAUGACUCACAGGAUCACAAGGUGAAGUCCCACCAUUGGUUGUCUUCAAGCUGAGGAGCCAGGAAGCCAGUCCGAGUCCCAAAACCUCAAAAGUAGGGAAGCUGAUAGUGCAGCCUUCAGUCUGUGGUGGAAGGCCCAAGAGCCCCUGGCAAAUCACUGGUGUGAGUCCAAGAAUCCAAAAGCUGAAGAACUUGGAGUCUGAUGUUCAAGGGCAGAAAGCAUCCAGCAUGGAAGAAAGAUGGAGGCCAGAAGGCUUAGCCAGUCUGGUCUUUCCACGUGUUUCUGUCUGCUUUUAUUCUGGCCAUGCUGGCAGCUGAUUAGAUUGUCCCCACCCGGAUUGAUUGUGGAUCUGGCUUUCUCAGUCCACGGACUCAAAUGUUAAUCUCCUUUGGCAAUACCCUCACAGACACACCUAGGAACGAUGCUUUGCAUCCUUCAAUCCAAUCAAGUUGACACUCAAUAUUAACCAUCACGCAACCCAAGUGUGAGCAUGAGGUGCAUGUAGACAUGGUAACCAUGGUGAUGUAAGGAAGACUAUGCAUAAAUUCAGUAGCAUGGGUUCCCUGUCUCCAACACAAAUUUAUCUCCUGUUACUGCAUGAUGUCCAUACAUACAAGACAAUCACUGAGUCCCCCUAAUAGCACCAUUCUGCGUGGAGACCAAUUAGCUGCUGGGUGGUGCGUAGUGGAACAAUGGCAUGUUAAGUUAAAGAUUUCAGUGGGAUGCCUAGCUCAGACAUGAGACCAUACAAAGAUGGGAUGUCACUUUUUAGGAUGUGUAUUCUAAAUCAACAACCAUAAUAUGAUUUUUUCCGAGUAGGUAAAAUACAUGAGUCUAAAAUCAGGGACUUAAAAUAUAAAUAACUUACUUAACAUCAUCACCAGUUUCUCAUUUACAGAGUUUGUGCUUUCCAGACCCACAAGUUUGGACUGUAUGAUGGAGAAGUUCUGGUCGACAAAGGUAGAAUACAUCGACUCUGGGACACUGCAAAAAUUUCAAUGAACUUAAGUUAUGGCUUCUUCCAGUGUACUUCAGGGGACUUUUCCCAAGUGACUUGAAGAGAAGUCACUAUCCUGAUAGGGAUAAUUGAUCUGAACUUCGGAAAAAGGUAGAGCUCUUGUAGAACGUAAAGCAGGAGGAAUAUUUUUAACAGUAACUAAUCUUAAUCCACUUUGGUGUCUUUUGAUAUUCUCUUGUACAACUUUGAGAAUCAAUGUAAUAAUACAGCAGCCAGGACCUGAGAAGGCAUAGCGACUGUGACUAUAGAACUGUCACAGAUGAAGGUCUGAGUCUUCCAAAGUUAGGCCACCUGACCAGCAGAGGUGCUGUUUAAGGGCGAAGAGGGUGAAAAUGCGUAACUAAGAAGUAUCUUAGCUCAGGCCUCUGUAAAAAAUACUGUGGGUGGGUUAGACAACAAAACUUUAUUUCUCACAGUUCUGGAGGAUGGAAAGAUCAAGGUUGAGGUGCUGGCAGUCAGUUCCUAGUGAGGGCCCUCUUCCUGGUUAUCAGAUAGCUGCCUUCUUGCUGUGUCCUCCCAUGGUGGGGAGAGAGUGAGAGCUUUGGUCUUUCACUUCUUAUAAGGAGAGCAAUUCCACCAUGGGGCCCCCACCUCUAUGAUCUUAUCUAAACUUAACUAUGCCCCAAAGGCUCGUCCUCUAAAUGCCAUCACAGGGGAAGUUAGGGGUUCAACAUAUGAAUUUUGAGGGAUAUGACAUUCAGUUUACAACAAGGAUGGUAAUGUUGAAUAUCAGUUACAGCCCAAGAUCUACUGCAGAGUUGGAAGCUGUGUGGUUUCUUCAUUUAAUAAGUCUCCACUAGAGAAAGAAAAAAAUACACACAUACUAGAAUCAUGGAGAAGCUGCUCCCAACAUAUAUGUACACAUGGAUUCGAGCAGCAUGGAUUAACUGAAGUGGACACUGUGCUUCACUACCCAUUUCCUAAGCUGCUUAUUAUAUAAACUGUUGGAGUGCUGCUGCCUAAUAGAACUGCCUUCCUGGAAGUCCUUCAUCUUUUCAUCUUUUACUGAAGCAUCUCACAUCCAAUACUGGUGGAUACAGGAGUAAAAAGUUCUGGUCCGGUUGCAAUAAAUCAGAGAAAUGCUAAAAAGUUAUCCCAGUUCCAGAACUCUAAAAGAAGCUUUUGUUGUGAAUGAAUCAAAAUCCAACUUUUUUUUUUUUUUUGAGACGGAGUCUCAUCUUGUAGCCCAGGCUGUAGUGCAGUGGCAUGAUCUCGGCUCACUGCGACCUUCGCCUCCGGGGUUCAAGUGAUUCUCGUGCCUGAGCCUCCUGAGUAGUUGGGACUACAGGUGUGCACCACCACACCCAGAUAAUUUUUGUAUUUUUAGUAGAGACAGGGUUUCGCCAUGUUGGCCAGGGUGGUCUCUAUCAAAGUCAAACUUCUUUGUCUUUCAAUUCUGCUUCCUUUCCUUUCCUUCCUGGUGUUAAUUCCAAGAACACUACCCAAUCAACCUACUGUGCUAUGUUUUACCUAUAGUCUGCUUCCCAGGGAGCAUAACUUGCAACAUUAAAAACUUGAGAACAAACAUGUAAAAGUGAAAAAUCAACAAAGCAACGAAUUCUUUGAAAUGAUGAAUCAAAGUAAUAAACUCCUAGGAAGACUGAUCAACAAACACAGAAAGCACAAAUUUAAAAUAUGCAGAAUAAAAGAGGAUAUCACUAUAGACCCUAAAGAUGUUAAAAUAAAAAGAAAAAAAAACCCCCAAAAAUGUAACUAGCAUAUGAUUCAGCAAUCUCACUUAUGAAUGUAUAUCCAAAAGAAAUGAAGUCAGUAUGUCAAAGGGUUAUCUGCGCUUUCAUGUUUAUUGCAACAUUAUUUGCUAAGACAUAGAUUCAACCUCAAUGUCCACCAAUGGAUGAAUGGAUAAAGAAAGUGUGGUACAUAUACACAAUGGAAUACUAUUCAGCCUUAUAAAAAAGAAAAAAUAUCUGAAACAACAUAGAUGAGAUUGAAGGAAGUUAUGAUAAAUGAAAUAAGCCAGACACAGAAAGACAAAUAUGGCAUGAUCUCACUUAUACUUGGAAUCUAAAAUAGCUGAAAUCAUGGAAGUAGAGACUACAAUAAUAGGUACCAGAGGCUGGGUGGGUGACGGGGAUAGAGAAAAUGGGAAGAUUUUAGGCAAAAGGUACAAUGUUUCAGCUAGGAGGAAUGUGUUGAUAUUUAUUGCACAGCAGUGUGACUAUGGUCAAUAAUGUAUUUUGUAUUUCGAAAUAACUAAGAGAGUAUAUUUCAAAUGUCUCACCAGAAAAAUGAUGGAUAAAGUAGGUGAUGUGUAUAUUAAUUAGCUUGAUUUAAUUAUUUCACAUGGUACACACAUAUCAAAACAUCACAUUGUACCCUAUAAAUGUACAAUUAUGAUUUGUCUGUUAAAAAUAAUAUUAACUUAAAAGGAGGAGCAUUGCAUAGUGGUAAAGGGGUUCAUUCUUCCAGAAGUCAUAACAACCUGUAAUGUAUAUGUGCCUAAAAACAAAGUAUCAAAGUAUGGAAGGCAAAAACUGAUGGAACUGCUAGGUGCAAUUGAUGAAUCCACUGUUUUAGUUGAAGGCCUCAUCCUUCUAUCACAAAUGGACACAUCCAACAAGCAGAAAAUAAAUUUAAGGACACAGUUGAACUCAAUAGCAUCAUCAAUCAACUGAAUAUAAUUGACAUCUAUAGACCUACUUUAUCCAACAACAGCAGAAUACAUUUCUUCUCAAGCUCACAUGGUACCUUAACUAAGAUAGAACACAUGCUGGGCCAUAAAACACACCUUAAGAAAAAUUUUAAAAAAGAAUGAUGAAUUGUCUGCUCUCAAGCCACAAUGUAAUUAAACUAGAAAACAAUAACAGACAGAUAACUGGAAAAAUCUCAGAAUAACACAUUUCAAGAUAACAUAUAAAUAAAAAAAAGUUAAGAAAAACAAAAAAAGGGAAUAAAUGAAAAUGAAAACACUAUAACAUUUGUGAGAUAUAGUAAAAUCAGGUCUUAGAAUUUAUAGCAUUGAAUACAUAUUUUAGAAAAGUGAGGUGGCUCACACCUGUAAUGCCAGCACUUUGGGAGGCCGAGGCAGGCAGAUCUCUUGAGGUCAGGAGUUCCAGACCAGCCUGGUCAACAUCGUGAAACCUUGUCUCUACUAAAAAUACAAAAACUAGCUGGGCGUGGUGGCACGUGUCUGUGCUGGGAUUACAGGCGUGAGCCAAUGCACCCAGCCAAUGCAUAUGUUUUUUAAUAAGUGUUUCUCAUACUUUUCCUUAAUCUCCUUUAUCGUACUAGCAUCUUAUUAUUUACUGUUGAUACAACAUUCUGAUUUCCCCUCUAAGCCCAAGGUAAGCUGCUUCUUACUAAAAACCAAUCAUUUUAGAAACAAUUAAACAUGACCAAGCAAAGACUGAGCUUUAUGGUCACACUCUGUUAUGUAAAUGAGGUAAUUUAAACACAGAGUAGAAGUUCAAGAUAUUUUCUCACGGUAACACCCUGGCUCGGAGGGUCCUACGCCCACGGAGUCUCCCUGAUUGCU
RNAcentral lists this long non-coding RNA (6169 nucleotides) under Homo sapiens (human). RNAcentral describes it as "non-protein coding lnc-LRR1-9:1". The record is from RNAcentral. Lineage: Eukaryota; Metazoa; Chordata; Mammalia; Primates; Hominidae.